AUUAAAGGAACUCUGGCUAAAAUCGCCGCGUCCUGCGGCAACGCCUGUGUGACUAACACCCUGUUGG
RNAcentral lists this small RNA (67 nucleotides) under Psychrobacillus psychrodurans. Its description in RNAcentral is "Bacillaceae-1 RNA". It matches the Rfam family "Bacillaceae-1 RNA". Lineage: Bacteria; Bacillati; Bacillota; Bacilli; Caryophanales; Bacillaceae. The record is from RNAcentral.